This 37-nucleotide ribosomal RNA is filed under the name Lestes virens sensu lato 'Lac Des Oiseaux-green'. RNAcentral's name for it is "Lestes virens s.l. 'Lac Des Oiseaux-green' partial 28S ribosomal RNA". The record is from RNAcentral. Lineage: Eukaryota; Metazoa; Arthropoda; Insecta; Odonata; Lestidae.
UUCAUUUUGCCGACCUAGAGCAGGUGAGACCACCCGC